This 484-nucleotide ribosomal RNA is filed under the name uncultured bacterium. RNAcentral's name for it is "partial 16S ribosomal RNA". It matches the Rfam family "Bacterial small subunit ribosomal RNA", at positions 30 to 507 of the family's 1533-position model. The record is from RNAcentral.
AUUGAACGCUGGCGGAAUGCUUUACACAUGCAAGUCGAACGGCAGCACGGGGGCAACCCUGGUGGCUAGUGGCGAACGGGUGAGUAAUACAUCGGAACGUGCCCGGUCGUGGGGGAUAACGUAUCGAAAGUUACGCUAAUACCGCAUACGAUCUGGGGAUGAAAGCGGGGGACCUUCGGGCCUCGCGCGAUCGGAGCGGCCGAUGUCAGAUUAGGUAGUUGGUGGGGUAAAGGCCUACCAAGCCGACGAUCUGUAGCUGGUCUGAGAGGACGACCAGCCACACUGGGACUGAGACACGGCCCAGACUCCUACGGGAGGCAGCAGUGGGGAAUUUUGGACAAUGGGCGCAAGCCUGAUCAAGCCAUUCCGCGUGCAGGACGAAGGCCUUCGGGUUGUAAACUGCUUUUGUAUGGAACGAAAAGGCUAUGGCUAAUACCUGGGGCUCAUGACGGUACCGUAAGAAUAAGCACCGGCUAACUACGUG